Molecule: non-coding RNA, 253 nt
Filed under: Vagococcus lutrae
Lineage: Bacteria; Bacillati; Bacillota; Bacilli; Lactobacillales; Enterococcaceae
Description: T-box sequence
Rfam family: T-box leader
About the family: Uncharged tRNA acts as the effector for transcription antitermination of genes in the T-box leader family. T-boxes are found upstream of many aminoacyl-tRNA synthetase genes and some amino acid biosynthetic genes usually in Gram-positive bacteria.
Source: RNAcentral
UAGACUCAAGUGAAGAGAAAAGUAAAUGGUCGCUUAAAGCCAAGAGAGAUUCUGGUAGGUGUGAAGAAUCGUGCGAGUGAUGAUUGAAAAUGGUCUCGGAUGAGUUGAAAGGUGAGCGCGGAUGCGUAAGCCAUUCACGGAUAGGACACACGAUAUCGUGUCGCAGUUUACCUAAUAGGUGUACUGGUCGAGGUUUAUUUUGAGAAAAAUAAACAAAUCAAGGUGGUAACACGAAUCUACAUUCGUCCUUGCA